GCAGUAUUUGUAGUUGAUUGAGUG
Molecule: non-coding RNA, 24 nt
Filed under: Mus musculus (house mouse)
Lineage: Eukaryota; Metazoa; Chordata; Mammalia; Rodentia; Muridae
Source: RNAcentral